Molecule: transfer RNA, 76 nt
Filed under: compost metagenome
Description: tRNA-Trp
Rfam family: tRNA
About the family: Transfer RNA (tRNA) molecules are approximately 80 nucleotides in length. Their secondary structure includes four short double-helical elements and three loops (D, anti-codon, and T loops).
Source: RNAcentral
ACGUGCCUAGCUCAACUGGCAGAGCGCUGGACUCCAAAUCCAGAGGUUCGGGGUUCGACUCCCUGGGUGCGUGCCA